RNAcentral lists this ribosomal RNA (369 nucleotides) under uncultured bacterium. Its description in RNAcentral is "bacterial SSU rRNA". It matches the Rfam family "Bacterial small subunit ribosomal RNA", at positions 527 to 896 of the family's 1533-position model. The record is from RNAcentral.
GUAGGGUGCAAGCGUUAAUCGGAAUUACUGGGCGUAAAGCGUGCGCAGGCGGUUAUGCAAGACAGAGGUGAAAUCCCCGGGCUCAACCUGGGAACUGCCUUUGUGACUGCAUGGCUAGAGUACGGUAGAGGGGGAUGGAAUUCCGCGUGUAGCAGUGAAAUGCGUAGAUAUGCGGGGGAACACCGAUGGCGAAGGCAAUCCCCUGGACCUGUACUGACGCUCAUGCACGAAAGCGUGGGGAGCAAACAGGAUUAGAUACCCUGGUAGUCCACGCCCUAAACGAUGUCAACUGGUUGUUGGGAGGGUUUCUUCUCAGUAACGUAGCUAACGCGUGAAGUUGACCGCCUGGGGAGUACGGCCGCAAGGUUG